CUGUUGGCCCACCUCGUCCAG
RNAcentral lists this unclassified non-coding RNA (21 nucleotides) under Mus musculus (house mouse). RNAcentral's name for it is "oocyte_clustered_small_RNA3967". The record is from RNAcentral. Lineage: Eukaryota; Metazoa; Chordata; Mammalia; Rodentia; Muridae.